CCUACGGGAGGCAGCAGUGGGGAAUAUUGCACAAUGGGCGCAAGCCUGAUGCAGCCAUGCCGCGUGUAUGAAGAAGGCCUUCGGGUUGUAAAGUACUUUCAGCGAGGAGGAAGGCGAUAAGGUUAAUAACCUUGUCGGUCGACGUUACUCGCAGAAGAAGCACCGGCUAACCCCGUGCCAGCAGCCGCGGUAAUACGGAGGGUGCAAGCGUUAAUCGGAAUUACUGGGCGUAAAGCGCACGCAGGCGGUCUGUCAAGUCGGAUGUGAAAUCCCCGGGCUCAACCUGGGAACUGCAUUCGAGACUGGCAGGCUAGAGUCUUGUAGAGGGGGGUAGAAUUCCAGGUGUAGCGGUGAAAUGCGUAGAGAUCUGGAGGAAUACCGGUGGCGAAGGCGGCCCCCUGGACAAAGACUGACGCUCAGGUGCGAAAGCGUGGGGAGCAAACAGGAUUAGAUACCCGGGUAGUC
RNAcentral lists this ribosomal RNA (465 nucleotides) under uncultured bacterium. RNAcentral's name for it is "bacterial SSU rRNA". It matches the Rfam family "Bacterial small subunit ribosomal RNA", at positions 338 to 795 of the family's 1533-position model. The record is from RNAcentral.